This 399-nucleotide ribosomal RNA is filed under the name uncultured bacterium. RNAcentral describes it as "partial 16S ribosomal RNA". It matches the Rfam family "Bacterial small subunit ribosomal RNA", at positions 338 to 734 of the family's 1533-position model. The record is from RNAcentral.
CCUACGGGUGGCAGCAGUGAGGAAUAUUGGUCAAUGGACGCAAGUCUGAACCAGCCAUGCCGCGUGCAGGAAGACGGCCCUAUGAGUUGUAAACUGCUUUUGUACGAGGGUAAAUCGCGACACGUGUGUCGGGUUGAAAGUACCGUACGAAUAAGGAUCGGCUAACUCCGUGCCAGCAGCCGCGGUAAUACGGAGGAUUCAAGCGUUGUCCGGAUUUAUUGGGUUUAAAGGGUGCGUAGGCUGUUUGAUAAGUGAGAGGUGAAAUGCCGGGGCUCAACCCCGGCACGGCCUCUGAUACUGUCUGGCUAGAGUGUAGUUGCGGUAGGCGGAAUGUAUGGUGUAGCGGUGAAAUGCAUAGAGAUCAAGCAGAACACUGAUUGCGAAGGCAGCUUACCAGAC